GCUGGGUGUGGUGACUCACACCUGUAAUCCCCAGCACUUUGGGAGGCUGAGGUGGGAGAAUUACUUGAGCCCAGGAGUUUGAGACCAGCCUGGGCAACACAGUGAAACCCCAUCUCUU
Unclassified non-coding RNA from Callithrix jacchus (white-tufted-ear marmoset), 118 nucleotides. It matches the Rfam family "Metazoan signal recognition particle RNA". From Rfam's summary of the family: The signal recognition particle (SRP) is a universally conserved ribonucleoprotein. It is involved in the co-translational targeting of proteins to membranes. The eukaryotic SRP consists of a 300-nucleotide 7S RNA and six proteins: SRPs 72, 68, 54, 19, 14, and 9. NCBI's taxonomy places the organism in Eukaryota, Metazoa, Chordata, Mammalia, Primates, Cebidae. The record is from Ensembl.